This 496-nucleotide ribosomal RNA is filed under the name uncultured bacterium. Its description in RNAcentral is "partial 16S ribosomal RNA". It matches the Rfam family "Bacterial small subunit ribosomal RNA", at positions 30 to 507 of the family's 1533-position model. The record is from RNAcentral.
AUGAACGCUGGCGGCGUGCCUAAUACAUGCAAGUCGAGCGAACAGACGAGGAGCUUGCUCCUCUGACGUUAGCGGCGGACGGGUGAGUAACACGUGGAUAACCUACCUAUAAGACUGGGAUAACUUCGGGAAACCGGAGCUAAUACCGGAUAAUAUAUUGAACCGCAUGGUUCAAUAGUGAAAGACGGUUUUGCUGUCACUUAUAGAUGGAUCCGCGCCGCAUUAGCUAGUUGGUAAGGUAACGGCUUACCAAGGCAACGAUGCGUAGCCGACCUGAGAGGGGGGGGGCCCACAGGGAAAGUGAGAAACGGCCCAGAUUCAGCGGGGGGGAAGAGGGAGGGACUCUUCCACAAGGGGGAAAGGUUGGACGGAGCAACGCGGAGGGAGGGAGAAGGGUUUUGGUAUCGAAAACCUUUGUUAUAGGGGAAAAAAAAAUUGGAAAGUAACUAUGCACGUCUGGAGGUUACUUAAUAAGAAGACCACGGCAAACUCCGUG